GGCAGGGCAAUUGGACGUUGAGGAUCGCGAAUCCGGUCAGGUUCGGAAGAAAGCAGCCGUAGUGAACACCGGGCGGGUCGAUUGUCCUUUUAAA
RNAcentral lists this signal recognition particle RNA (94 nucleotides) under Holosporaceae bacterium. Its description in RNAcentral is "signal recognition particle sRNA small type". It matches the Rfam family "Bacterial small signal recognition particle RNA". From Rfam's summary of the family: The signal recognition particle (SRP) is a universally conserved ribonucleoprotein involved in the co-translational targeting of proteins to membranes. The record is from RNAcentral. Lineage: Bacteria; Pseudomonadati; Pseudomonadota; Alphaproteobacteria; Holosporales; Holosporaceae.